GCAAAGAGGUAGGCGGCGGCCUUGCGGGCGUGGCCGCGGGCGGGGAGGAACUCGACGGAGCGGAAGCCGAGGCGGGCCUGGUCGGCGAGGGUGAGCAGCGCGGCGCCCGGGUGGGACCAGCCGGGCGGGGUCGCCUCGUCCGCGACGGCGAGGAGCUGCCACCCGAGGGCGCCCGCCAGCGGGCGGUGGCGCUGGUGGUGGGGCGACGCGGAGAAGACGAUCCAGUGGGAGGCGCGGAGGUCCGGGAGCGGGGAGGAGGGGAGCCCCGGGAGGGGCGGCACGCGGGACCAGAGGAGGGACGGGUACGGGAUGCGGCGGGGGCCGGGGGACGAGCGGCAGAGCGCGGACGGGGAGGCCCCGCCGUUGAAAAAGAGGAGGAGGAGGAAGGGGGCCGCCGCGAGCGCCGCGAGGAGGAGGUAG
Molecule: ribosomal RNA, 420 nt
Filed under: Triticum aestivum (bread wheat)
Lineage: Eukaryota; Viridiplantae; Streptophyta; Magnoliopsida; Poales; Poaceae
Description: partial small subunit ribosomal RNA
Source: RNAcentral